UAGGGAAUCUUCGGCAAUGGACGAAAGUCUGACCGAGCAACGCCGCGUGAGUGAAGAAGGUUUUCGGAUCGUAAAACUCUGUUGUUAGAGCAGAACAAGGACGUUAGUAACUGAACGUCCCCUGACGGUAUCUAACCAGAAAGCCACGGCUAACUACGUGCCAGCAGCCGCGGUAAUACGUAGGUGGCAAGCGUUGUCCGGAUUUAUUGGGCGUAAAGCGAGCGCAGGCGGUUUCUUAAGUCUGAUGUGAAAGCCCCCGGCUCAACCGGGGAGGGUCAUUGGAAACUGGGAGAAUUGAGUGCAGAAGAGGAGAGUGGAAUUCCAUGUGUAGCGGUGAAAUGCGUAGAUAUAUGGAGGAACACCAGUGGCGAAGGCGGCUCUCUGGUCUGUAACUGACGCUGAGGCUCGAAAGCGUGGGGAGCAAACAGG
Molecule: ribosomal RNA, 429 nt
Filed under: Gemmatimonadota bacterium
Lineage: Bacteria; Pseudomonadati; Gemmatimonadota
Description: Gemmatimonadetes bacterium partial 16S ribosomal RNA
Rfam family: Bacterial small subunit ribosomal RNA
Source: RNAcentral